ACUUGAGUAACACUGACCUAGUGGCCUACACUCUCGCAACGAAUCACUGCCCGUUAAGUUUAGACAAAAAUCGAUUUACAAUGAAAGUACAAGACGUUCUUAGCUGUAGCUUUCCGUCAUGGUAUGACAAGUUCAAAAAAUGUACCAUUAAGAGCAUUUUACUGCCUUUAACACCAGAGGUCCUGGCCUAUAUGCAAGAUAAUGGGACUCUGGUGCUCCCAGAAGGUUCACAGCCAGAGCCAACCUAUAAGAGGAACACACAAGAGGAAGAAGACACUGAAGACUGGGAUCUGUGUGAGACAUCAGGCUGUGUUGUGCAAGGUCCUAAGUUGGAGGAGUACAGCACAAAGAUCAGAGAUGCCAUCAAGAAGCUUGGAGGAAGUGCCUUUCCUAAACUUAAUUGGAGUUCCCCAAAGGAUGCCACAUGGAUUGCCCUCAACAGUUCUUUAAGAUGUUACACCCCUGGAGAUGUUUAUCUCCUCCUUAAAAGUAGCAACUUUGUCACACAUGACCUCACAACACCCUUCAAGGAUUGUGAUGAUGUAGAUGUAGCAGAUCCCAGUGUUGAUUACUGCUUGGUAUUACGAAGAUGGAUGGAGAUCAACCCUGCUUAUGAGUUUCGCUGCUUUGUGAGGAAUAAAGAACUAGUUGGUAUUUCUCAGCGUGAUAUAAGCCAGGGUUACUCUUGUGUUGGUGGUGAUCAAGUUAAUAUUCGCAAUGACAUUAUCAGCUUCUGGAGAGAAAACAUAGAUGACAGAUUCCCUCUUCAUGACUAUGUGGUUGAUGUGUACCGUCCAGUUAAGGACCAUGUGAUCCUGCUUGACUUCAACCCAUUUGGUGAAACAACUGAUGGUCUUCUGUUUUCUUGGCCUGAACUGAAAGGGUUGGAAGACUUUAGAGAGUGCCUUAGCAGGGUUAUUGGAGAUGAAACUAGUGAGGAACCUGAAGACAACAUCCAGUAUCAUAAUGAGAGGAACGUAACGGACAGCAAUCUACAGUCAUAUUCACCACAAAGGGACAAACUUAUUUGCUCCAGUCUCAUCGAAAAUUCACCAGAAUUUCGGUUCAUAUCAGAUGCUACAGGAGUUCAGCCUAGCCCACAUAAGAAGUAUGGUCUCCCAAUGGAUAUAGUUGACUUAAGCACCAUCCAAGAUCCUAAGAAAUUAAUUGACAUUAUACAAAUGAAAGUGCAGAUUGAAGAUGAUGAUAGUUUAGAAUGAAGAGGAGGUUCCCAGCUGAUCUAAGGAGAAGGAAUAGGUUCUGAUUUCUUGGCCAUAGCUUCCUCUCUGACGUGGCGCUUUUUCUCUUAUUUCUCAUUUGUCUUGUCAUGACAGUUUCGGUAUAGAGCCACAACUUUCGGAAGAAUUUCGUAUGAAUCCACUGAAUGAAAAUAAAAAUCUCUUUUUUCCCUUUCUGGUUUAUUUUUGUAUUUUGAGUAUGUUCCCAAAAUGGGAACGUUGGACACUUCCGGAGUACAUUCAUGAUAUUAUCAUAUAUAUAUAUAUAUAUAUAUAUAUAUAUAUAUAUAUAUAUAUAUAUAUAUAUAUAUAUAUAUAUAUAUAUUCCACCACCAUUUCUUGGAGCGUAGUCUUGGCCUGUAGGUUGACAGCAUCUGGUCACAAACAUCUACACCACCCAUUCCUUUGUUAUACAUUUUUAUCAUAUGUGGCUGGUUUAUUGCCUUCCUUCCUUCAUUUUUUACCCAUCUGUUUACUUUUUGCAUAGGACUGACUCCAUAGUAGUUGCUAGCUACUGUAACAAUGCUGUUAUCAUUCCAUCUUGAACAUAGGACGGAAUCAUCCGAUCUGUAGUCGUAUGAACCUCUUUCUUUUUUUUCAAGUUCUUUCUUUGAUAGAAGAGGGCACUUUCCUGUGCGGUUAUCUCUGAUUGUUCCACAGGCUCUAAACCCAUUGCUUGUAAGGUCAAUCAUCAAUGCGUGACUGGUGAAAAAGUUGUCAAAAAAUACAACAUGUUCAUCUUUAUUCACCACUGGCUGUAGCAUGUCCAUGACAACUUGAUAGCCUAAAAGCUCCUUCUUGCUUUUAUCUUUUCCACAAUAAAUAGAAAAGUUAUAAGGAUAACCGUCAGCACUGCACAUCAUCCACAUCUUGUAACCAAACCUAACAGGUUUGUUUCUGAUGAACUGUUUGGCGCUGUGGUGUCCGCGGUACGGGAUCAUUGAUUCGUCAAUGCUGAGAAAUUCAUGAAAAAUUCCAUGUUUUUGACAAUUAUUUCUCAGCAUGUGAAGGAGGGGCAGAAUCUUGGCCACCUUUGAAUUUUCCAAAUUGUUAUUAUCAGCCACAUGAAAGUACCUCUUGAUGGAUUUGAACCUUUCUCUGCACAUAGUCUUGGCGAAUAUUGGUAUUUCCAAGUCUUCGCUUGAUGACCAGUAGUCAUUUUCAGAGGGAACACUGUGAUAUCCACUGAUCAAGAGAAGUCCCAAAAACUUCAUCAUGUCAUUCUCAUCAACACAGAAGUCUUUGUUGUUUUUGUCUCGAUGAGCAUACAAAUUUGUUUGUUCUGUUAGGUGACUUAUGAUUUCAUCUGUGAAGAAAAGUUUGAAAAUUUCAAACAUUUCCUUUCCUAAAUGCACAUCAGCAACACUUGGAGGAAUUGAGUGAGGACCAAACGAGACAUUUUCCUUUUUACGUUGAUGAGUAAAUAAGGGUAGGCAGACUACGGAUGUGUCCAGCGUUCCCAUUUUGGGAACAUCAUACAAAAACACUUAUAGCGACAUAAUUAUAAUAUAAAUCACAUUUAUUGAAAUGUAUAAGAUAAGAAGGAGUACUUAGACAUUACACCAUGUAAAUAAAUAGCUCAAGGAGAAUUUUUUUUAUUGAGAGAAAAUGUUUAUUUCGAGUAGUCAUUUUUACAUCAAAUUCCUUCAGAACAUACCACAAAAAGUAACAUGGGUAUUACAGAGUAUUGGAAUCUUUUUAUGCAGAAUAGUAAUUUAGAUGUAUAACAAUAUAUCUGCUAUGAAAUAAAUUAGAAUAUUAUGUUAAUAAUCACGGGAGAAUAUUUGAAAGUUAUGUUCCCAAAAUGGGAACGUUAGACACUAAAGGGAGCUAAUCAUUUUAUAUUUUUACUUUCUGUAAACAUUUAGCCGAUAUAUGUGGAUGCCAUUAUGUAUGAUUUUUAAUAAAGGUUUUAUAAGUUA
Molecule: unclassified non-coding RNA, 3160 nt
Filed under: Homarus americanus (American lobster)
Lineage: Eukaryota; Metazoa; Arthropoda; Malacostraca; Decapoda; Nephropidae
Description: cell division cycle protein 123 homolog, transcript variant X2
Source: RNAcentral